This 788-nucleotide ribosomal RNA is filed under the name Dendroctonus ponderosae (mountain pine beetle). RNAcentral describes it as "eukaryotic LSU rRNA". It matches the Rfam family "Eukaryotic large subunit ribosomal RNA", at positions 386 to 956 of the family's 3401-position model. Lineage: Eukaryota; Metazoa; Arthropoda; Insecta; Coleoptera; Curculionidae. The record is from RNAcentral.
CCGUUUAGGGGUAAACUGAAAAACCGAAAGGUCGAAGGGAGAAAUUCAUCGCGUCUCGACGUCGGCAAGAGGCAAUGUUGUGUGACGGGGAUGUGUUCGCAUAUUUCCGCGCCCUUUGUUUUAUUGAUCUGACGACGAACGCGUGCACUUUUCUCCUGGUAGGACGUCGCGAUCCGUUGGGUGUCGGUCUACGGCUUGCGGUGGAGCCCGUUCGUCAUUAUUGACGAAUGGACCCGCGUUGAUCCUGGCCGACUCGCUCGACGGUAUAAGAAAGGUUAGAGGCCGCUCGAUUUGGAGCGUUCGACUCGUGGCAAGCGCGCCAGAUGCGUUGGCAAUCGGACCUGGUGCCGUUUCUGACCUCUGGUGACUGUUGGCUACGAUGUUCUCGGACAGACCUCAAGACCGAUCUGCGACGCUAUAGCUUUGGGUACUUUCAGGACCCGUCUUGAAACACGGACCAAGGAGUCUAGCAUGUACGCGAGUCAUUGGGAAUCACUAAACCUAAAGGCGCAAUGAAAGUAAAGGUCUUCCUUGCGAAGACCGAGGGAAGACGGGCGGUUCUACCGUUAAAAGUGGCCGCUCAGCAUUCCCGGGGCGUCUCAUUCUCAUUGCGAGAAGAGGCGCACCAAGAGCGUACACGCUGGGACCCGAAAGAUGGUGAACUAUGCCUGGUCAGGACGAAGUCAGGGGAAACCCUGAUGGAGGUCCGUAGCGAUUCUGACGUGCAAAUCGAUCGUCGGAACUGGGUAUAGGGGCGAAAGACUAAUCGAACCAUCUAGUAGCUGGUU